AUUGAACGCUGGCGGCAGGCCUAACACAUGCAAGUCGAGCGGAUGAAGGGAGCUUGCUCCUGGAUUCAGCGGCGGACGGGUGAGUAAUGCCUAGGAAUCUGCCUGGUAGUGGGGGAUAACGUCCGGAAACGGGCGCUAAUACCGCAUACGUCCUGAGGGAGAAAGUGGGGGAUCUUCGGACCUCACGCUAUCAGAUGAGCCUAGGUCGGAUUAGCUAGUUGGUGGGGUAAAGGCCUACCAAGGCGACGAUCCGUAACUGGUCUGAGAGGAUGAUCAGUCACACUGGAGCUGAGACACGGUCCAGAGUCCUACGGGAGGCAGCAGUGGGGAAUGUUGGACAAUGGGCGAAAGCCUGAUCCAGCCAUGCCGCGUGUGUGAAGAAGGUCUUCGGAUUGUAAAGCACUUUAAGUUGGGAGGAAGGGCAGUAAGUUAAUACCUUGCUGUUUUGACGUUACCAACAGAAUAAGCACCGGCUAACUUCGUG
RNAcentral lists this ribosomal RNA (484 nucleotides) under uncultured bacterium. RNAcentral describes it as "partial 16S ribosomal RNA". It matches the Rfam family "Bacterial small subunit ribosomal RNA", at positions 30 to 507 of the family's 1533-position model. The record is from RNAcentral.